RNAcentral lists this long non-coding RNA (1223 nucleotides) under Helianthus annuus (common sunflower). RNAcentral's name for it is "hypothetical non coding rna". Lineage: Eukaryota; Viridiplantae; Streptophyta; Magnoliopsida; Asterales; Asteraceae. The record is from RNAcentral.
GUCACACCAACCUUUCAUUACACUGUGUUUUCUGCCGACUUGAGAUACGCUUCCGCCUCAAUGAUUCCCCUUUCAUUCAUUCAUUCAUUCGUUCUUUUCAAAGAUCCGCCUCCUUCAGGCACUUUAAUCUUAUCAUUAACGGUGAGUGAAGAUCCAAUAGAAUAGCUUGGAUUCGUCAACAAGGGUUAAAAAUAUCAUCAACGGCGAUAUUGGAAGUGAAGAUCCGAUAGAAUAAAGGUCAAAUGACAUAUGCAAGGAAUCGAAGAGGCAAACAAUUAACGCUGAAGACGUAUUCAAGGCCCUUGAAGAUAUCGAGUUUCCAGAAUUCAUUGCACCACUAAGAGCCUAUCGAUUUGGACCACUAAAAAGUCGUGCUGCCAAGGCGAUCGGUUUUAUUUUUAUUGAUGUGAUGAUUGAUUAUUCGUUAGAGAAUGCACCACUACAAAAAGAAUUAUCAGCAGAGGAAGUGGGAAUUGUUGCUGCUUUUCAAAUAAAGUUGUUUUGACCCGCGUAUAUAAGCAUCUAAAAAACCAAGGUGGUGGUCAGUCGGUUGCCUCUGAGUAGUCAAAAAAUUGAGGACUUCACCAAUAGAGAAACUUCCUAGGUUGUCAACAUCGGCACAUCAUGAUCUACCUUAUAAGAGAAAGAAGACUAGAAACGGGUGUAGCGCAUUUAAAACCUCUAUGGUAAACAAAGUGGGAUUUUUUUUUUUUUUUUUUUUUUUUUUUUUGUGCAGAUUUGCUAGCUCUCAUUGAGGUUCUUACCAUCUAUUAUCCAAAUAAUCUUGUGGGGAUCACACAAAUUACUCAAGUUUUUCAAGAUACUGACAUUGGUUAAUCAAGAUAAUGACAAAACUGCACUUCAGACAAUUGCUUCUUUGAAGAAAGGUGCAUAUAUUUUGAAGUACGAUUGAAGAGGAUAGCCUAAACUUUCUCCUUUCAGGUACAAAAACUUUGAUCUGAUUUUCGGUCAAGCAUCAAUGUGGUCAUUGGACAAUAAGUGCGAAGAAAACGAACAAAAAAACAUUCUUUCUUCAUGUUUUUUGAUAAACUUGGUAGCUUAUAACUGUUGUUUGUUACUACAUUGCACCAAAAGUGUUAGUUGAACUGUAGCAAUGGUUCAAAAAGACUACAAGUGCACCACAUGGUGGUUAUGUUGAGAAAUUUUCAUAUAUUGUCAUAAAAGAUUUCUAUUUUUUUGGUUGUAUUAGUACGUUGUUAUUU